Molecule: ribosomal RNA, 406 nt
Filed under: uncultured bacterium
Lineage: Bacteria
Description: partial 16S ribosomal RNA
Rfam family: Bacterial small subunit ribosomal RNA
Source: RNAcentral
AUUGAACGCUGGCGGCAGGCCUAACACAUGCAAGUCGAACGAGUGGCGGACGGGUGAGUAAUGUCUUGGAAACUGCCCGAUGGCGGGGGAUAACUACUGGAAACGGUAGCUACUACCGCACACCAGCGGAUGUGCCCAGAUGGGAUUAGCUAGUAGGUGGGGUAAUGGCUCACCUAGGCGACGAUCCCUAGCUGGUCUGAGAGGAUGACCAGCCAAACUGGAGCUGAGACACGUUCCAGGCUCCUACGGGAGGCAGCAGGGGGGAAUAUUGCACAAUAGGCGCAAGCCUGAUGCAGCCAUGCCGCUUGUAUCAAGAAGGCCUUCGGGUUGUAAAGUACUUUCAGCGAGGAGGCGUUACUCGCAGAAGAAGCACCAGCUAACUCCGUGCCAGCAGCCGCGGUAAUUC